CCCUUAGAUGUUCUGGGCCGCACGCGCGCUACACUGAUACAUGCAACGAGUUUAUAACCUUGAUCUGACGGUCUGGGUAAUCUUCAAACUGUAUCGUGUUAGGGAUCGAUUCUUGCAAUUUUUAAUCGUAAACGAGGAAUUCCUAGUAAACGCAAGUCAUCAGCUUGCAUUGAUUACGUCCCUGCCCUUUGUACACACCGCCCGUCGCACCUACCGAUUGGAUGGUCCGGUGAAGCCUCGGGAUUGUGGUUCUUGCCGCUUUAUUGUGGCGUGACCGCGAGAACUUGUCUAAACCUUAUCAUCUAGAGGAAGGUGAAGUCGUAACA
This 326-nucleotide ribosomal RNA is filed under the name uncultured eukaryote. RNAcentral describes it as "partial 18S ribosomal RNA". It matches the Rfam family "Eukaryotic small subunit ribosomal RNA", at positions 1470 to 1796 of the family's 1831-position model. The record is from RNAcentral.